GCCCCAGUAAACGGCGGCCGUAACUAUAACGGUCCUAAGGUAGCGAAAUUCCUUGUCGGGUAAGUUCCGACCCGCACGAAAGGCGUAACGAUUUGGGCACUGUCUCAACGAGAGACUCGGUGAAAUCAUAGUACCUGUGAAGAUGCAGGUUACCCGCGACAGGACGGAAAGACCCCGUGGAGCUUUACUGUAGCCUGAUAUUGAAAUUCGGCACAGCUUGUACAGGAUAGGUAGGAGCCUUUGAAACGUGAGCGCUAGCUUACGUGGAGGCGCUGGUGGGAUACUACCCUAGCUGUGUUGGCUUUCUAACCCGCACCACUUAUCGUGGUGGGAGACAGUGUCAGGCGGGCAGUUUGACUGGGGCGGUCGCCUCCUAAAAGGUAACGGAGGCGCUCAAAGGUUCCCUCAGAAUGGUUGGAAAUCAUUCAUAGAGUGUAAAGGCAUAAGGGAGCUUGACUGCGAGACCUACAAGUCGAGCAGGGUCGAAAGACGGACUUAGUGAUCCGGUGGUUCCGCAUGGAAGGGCCAUCGCUCAACGGAUAAAAGCUACCCCGGGGAUAACAGGCUUAUCUCCCCCAAGAGUUCACAUCGACGGGGAGGUUUGGCACCUCGAUGUCGGCUCAUCGCAUCCUGGGGCUGUAGUCGGUCCCAAGGGUUGGGCUGUUCGCCCAUUAAAGCGGUACGCGAGCUGGGUUCAGAACGUCGUGAGACAGUUCGGUCCCUAUCCGUCGUGGGCGUAGGAAAUUUGAGAGGAGCUGUCCUUAGUACGAGAGGACCGGGAUGGACAUACCUCUGGUGUACCAGUUGUCGUGCCAACGGCAUAGCUGGGUAGCUAUGUGUGGACGGGAUAAGUGCUGAAAGCAUCUAAGCAUGAAGCCCCCCUCAAGAUGAGAUUUCCCAACUUCGGUUAUAAGAUCCCUCAA
RNAcentral lists this ribosomal RNA (923 nucleotides) under Staphylococcus aureus. RNAcentral's name for it is "partial 23S ribosomal RNA". It matches the Rfam family "Bacterial large subunit ribosomal RNA", at positions 1917 to 2841 of the family's 2925-position model. Lineage: Bacteria; Bacillati; Bacillota; Bacilli; Caryophanales; Staphylococcaceae. The record is from RNAcentral.